This 380-nucleotide ribosomal RNA is filed under the name uncultured bacterium. Its description in RNAcentral is "bacterial SSU rRNA". It matches the Rfam family "Bacterial small subunit ribosomal RNA", at positions 958 to 1339 of the family's 1533-position model. The record is from RNAcentral.
AACGCGAAGAACCUUACCCGGACUUGACAUGUACCUGAUCGGUGUGGAAACACGUCUUCCCUUCGGGGCAGGUACACAGGUGCUGCAUGGCUGUCGUCAGCUCGUGCCGUGAGGUGUUGGGUUAAGUCCCGCAACGAGCGCAACCCUUGUCCUUAUUUGCCAUCAGUUCGGCUGGGCACUUUAAGGAGACUGCCGGUGAUAAACCGGAGGAAGGUGGGGAUGACGUCAAGUCCUCAUGGUCCUUACGUCCGGGGCUACACACGUGCUACAAUGGUCGGUACAGAGGGUUGCAAGGCCGCAAGGUGGAGCCAAUCCCAGAAAACCGGCCUCAGUUCGGAUCGGAGUCUGCAACUCGACUUCGUGAAGUUGGAAUCGCUAGU